This 465-nucleotide ribosomal RNA is filed under the name uncultured bacterium. RNAcentral's name for it is "partial 16S ribosomal RNA". It matches the Rfam family "Bacterial small subunit ribosomal RNA", at positions 338 to 795 of the family's 1533-position model. The record is from RNAcentral.
CCUACGGGAGACAGCAGUAGGGAAUCUUCCACAAUGGGCGAAAGCCUGAUGGAGCAACGCCGCGUGGGUGAAGAAGGUCUUCGGAUCGUAAAACCCUGUUGUUAGAGAAGAAAGUGCGUGAGAGUAACUGUUCACGUUUCGACGGUAUCUAACCAGAAAGCCACGGCUAACUACGUGCCAGCAGCCGCGGUAAUACGUAGGUGGCAAGCGUUAUCCGGAUUUAUUGGGCGUAAAGGGAACGCAGGCGGUCUUUUAAUUCUGAUGUGAAAGCCUUCGGCUUAACCGGGGUAGUGCAUUGGAAACUGGGAGACUGGAGUGCAGGAGAGGAGGGUGGAACUCCAUGUGGAGCGGUGAAAUGCGUAGGUAUAUGGAAGAACACCAGUGGCGAAAGCGGCUCUCUGGGCUGUAAAUGACGCUGAGGGUCGAAAGCGUGGGUAGCAAACAGGAUUAGAUACCCUUGUAGUC